UACGUAGGUGGCAAGCGUCGUCCGGAAUUAUUGGGCGUAAAGCGCGCGCAGGUGGUUCCUUAAGUCUGAUGUGAAAGCCCCCGGCUCAACCGGGGAGGGUCAUUGGAAACUGGGGAACUUGAGUGCAGAAGAGGAUAGUGGAAUUCCAAGUGUAGCGGUGAAAUGCGUAGAGAUUUGGAGGAACACCAGUGGCGAAGGCGACUAUCUGGUCUGUAACUGACACUGAGGCGCGAAAGCGUGGGGAGCAAACAGG
This 253-nucleotide ribosomal RNA is filed under the name uncultured bacterium. Its description in RNAcentral is "partial 16S ribosomal RNA". It matches the Rfam family "Bacterial small subunit ribosomal RNA", at positions 524 to 776 of the family's 1533-position model. The record is from RNAcentral.